Agelaius phoeniceus (red-winged blackbird) is the source of this 270-nucleotide long non-coding RNA. RefSeq lists it as uncharacterized. The record is from RefSeq and is a predicted model, not a curated record. Lineage: Eukaryota; Metazoa; Chordata; Aves; Passeriformes; Icteridae.
GAAGCCUCUGCCUUUUCUGUUUAAAGGUGUCACCAGGGUAGCCUUCAGCAAUGGCCGAGGAGUUGCGCCCAGGCGUGCCCCACGACGAUGGCGUCAGCCUCCGAGUGCGGCUGAAGCGUGCGGCCCCAGGAGCCGGGCAUUCUUGGGAAAAGAACGAAGAAACAACAGGAAGUUGUUGAACAACAGUGCCAGCAGGACCUUCCCAGAUGUCGAGGCAGCCUUCCUUUGCACCUGACACAGACCGGCAUCCCCAGAUGUCUGAGAGAUAAG